GACGAACGCUGGCGGCGUGCUUAACGCAUGCAAGUCGAACGGAAAGGCCCUGCUUUUGUGGGGUGCUCGAGUGGCGAACGGGUGAGUAACACGUGAGCAACCUGCCCUUGACUUUGGGAUAACUUCAGGAAACUGGGGCUAAUACCGGAUAGGAGCUCCUGCUGCAUGGUGGGGGUUGGAAAGUUUCGGCGGUUGGGGAUGGACUCGCGGCUUAUCAGCUUGUUGGUGGGGUAGUGGCUUACCAAGGCCUUGACGGGUAGCCGGCCUGAGAGGGUGACCGGCCACAUUGGGACUGAGAUACGGCCCAGACUCCUACGGGAGGCAGCAGUGGGGAAUAUUGCACAAUGGGCGGAAGCCUGAUGCAGCAACGCCGCGUGCGGGAUGACGGCCUUCGGGUUGUAAACCGCUUUCGCCUGUGACGAAGCGUGAGUGACGGUAAUGGGUAAAGAAGCACCGGCUAACUACGUG
Molecule: ribosomal RNA, 468 nt
Filed under: uncultured bacterium
Lineage: Bacteria
Description: partial 16S ribosomal RNA
Rfam family: Bacterial small subunit ribosomal RNA
Source: RNAcentral